This 254-nucleotide ribosomal RNA is filed under the name uncultured bacterium. RNAcentral's name for it is "partial 16S ribosomal RNA". It matches the Rfam family "Bacterial small subunit ribosomal RNA", at positions 524 to 776 of the family's 1533-position model. The record is from RNAcentral.
UACGAAGGGGGCGAGCGUUGUUCGGAAUUACUGGGCGUAAAGGGCUCGUAGGCGGCCAACUAAGUCAGACGUGAAAUCCCUCGGCUUAACCGGGGAACUGCGUCUGAUACUGGAUGGCUUGAGAUUGGGAGAGGGAUGCGGAAUUCCAGGUGUAGCGGUGAAAUGCGUAGAUAUCUGGAGGAACACCGGUGGCGAAGGCGGCAUCCUGGACCAACACUGACGCUGAGUGAGCGAAAGCCAGGGGAGCAAACGGG